GGAGGUGCCCCGGAUGGAAACGGCAGACCAUGGAAGUGGGAUGUGGAAGGUGGGAGAUGGAUGUGGAAGGGCCCAUCUCCCUCCUUGACUCCUCCCCUCUGUCUCUGCUUCCUGGCCCCCGGAAAUGAGCAACUUUCUUCCUCCCAGACUCUUUCCACUGUGCCGUUUUCCCCUUGGAGCUGACCAACCAUGGACUGAAAGUGUGAGCCAAGAUAAACCUCUCCACCUUUAAAUUGUGGGUGUUGGGUACUGUGCCCCAGUGACAAGAAAGUGACCAAGACACACAUGGUUACACACUGCUAUGUACUAAGAAGGAGAGAUCCGGAUACCAGACAGUGCAGACUCCUGUGCCGGACAGGGAGGUUUACAAUAUAGAACUACGAAAAGGAUAGAAGGAGGACUCUUGUCCAUUAAAAGUUUUUCUAUAAUUCAGAGCUGAAGAAAUGAAUCAGUGCCAUUGUUUUGCUGAAGGUCAAUACCAGAUAAUUCACAAAAAGAAAGAACACCCAGGAAAUCACAGGACAAGAUGCAAUUUCAGGUAUCCAGCUCAGCACCCAAACUAGUCACCAUUUAACUCUGGAAGCAAAGACCAGAAUGAACCCUCAUACAUUGUGCCAGUGCGGAUGAGCUUGGUAUCAUUCAUCUUUCUCAGAAAUAAUAAAAAUCCCAAUGCUAUGAGGAGCUAACUGUGCAAAGUUAUUUCUCCAUUUAUAACAGGAGUAUGAGAAGGAUUCAUAAUUCACCUGAUUUUGGAUGCACCCUCUGCCAAGACUAGAUUAUUCUGGGAAGAGAUCACAGUUGAAAACAAUGGUAAAAACUUCUUUAGUUUUAAAAUUAUGCUUAAUGCCAGAAAUGAGCCACACACAGGAUGAGUCGUCUGACUAUGGCUAGA
This is a long non-coding RNA of Heterocephalus glaber (naked mole-rat), 892 nucleotides long. The record is from Ensembl. Lineage: Eukaryota; Metazoa; Chordata; Mammalia; Rodentia; Bathyergidae.